UACGUAGGGUGCGAGCGUUAAUCGGAAUUACUGGGCGUAAAGCGUGCGUAGGCGGCGCUGUAAGACAGAUGUGAAAUCCCCGGGCUUAACCUGGGAACUGCAUUUGUGACUGCAGUGCUAGAGUGUGUCAGAGGGGGGUGGAAUUCCACGUGUAGCAGUGAAAUGCGUAGAGAUGUGGAGGAACACCGAUGGCGAAGGCAGCCCCCUGGGAUAACACUGACGCUCAGGCACGAAAGCGUGGGGAGCAAACAGGAUUAGA
RNAcentral lists this ribosomal RNA (259 nucleotides) under uncultured prokaryote. Its description in RNAcentral is "partial 16S ribosomal RNA". It matches the Rfam family "Bacterial small subunit ribosomal RNA", at positions 524 to 782 of the family's 1533-position model. The record is from RNAcentral.